Antechinus flavipes (yellow-footed antechinus) is the source of this 1778-nucleotide long non-coding RNA. RefSeq lists it as uncharacterized. Lineage: Eukaryota; Metazoa; Chordata; Mammalia; Dasyuromorphia; Dasyuridae. The transcript is spliced from 3 exons. The record is from RefSeq and is a predicted model, not a curated record.
GAGAGUAGGCUUCUUUUUCCUGUUUCUCAGCAUAAAGUUAUUUAAUUGCACAGAAAGUGUGUGGGCUGCGGGUGCGAGCUGCUGGUGACCCUAGCCCACCUGUAGGAAAGGUGAAAGAAAGAGAAAGGAAAGAGGAGAACGAGAAGGGGGGAGGAGGAGGGCUUUUUGGUGAGGGGGUAGUUUGGGUUCCAAUCCUGAAGACCGCUACCCUCACCUGCCGCCAGGAGUCCCCAAGCAGGGAGGGAGCCUCGGGAGGAAGAGAGAGACGGCUGGGGCUGAGAAUGGGACUGGGGUUGGGGGCGGGGCAGGAUAGAGCACCUGGUGGGAGGAUAAGGAGCUCGGCUCAGUUUCUAGGCUGCUCGCGGAGGGUGUUGGUAGGAAUAGUCCAAGGCUGGACUGCCUGAUCCUAGGUUACAGGUAAAAGGGGAUAGUUCGGGAGCCCAGGUAAUGGGGGUGGGGGUGGGGAUGGGGGCCCGGCGAGCCAAUCCUUGCCUGGAGCCCUGGAGUUGUUCCUGCUGGGUUGGGCUCGGCUGGGCUGCUGCGUUUCCGCGGCCAGGGCACCCAAGAGGGGGAAGUUUCUUGGCUGGAAAGGAUGCAAUUGUGUUGAGCUAUUCCUGGUAUGUCAGGCACUGGCCCUGCAGCGGUGAGCUCUGAAAGCUCCGUUUCCAGGGGAUCCGGGAAGGGAAUGAAGAUCCGCUUGGGGACGGAUAGGAAAAGAGCCCGGGAGGGAGGGGAUGCGACUGGACGAGGCAGGACAGGGCAGGGCAGGGAGGGCUGAGUGGAGCUCCAAGUGCUCUUUCAGCGGCUCCCGCGAGCAUCUCCUUUCCUUGCGCUGCCAAAGCUCAAGUUCCCCGGAGUGGCGCGCUGCGCUUCCAUUUGGGGCUUGCCCUGCGACGGGGAUUUGGCAUCCCAUGGUUCAGACAGUCUAAACCACAAGGGCUGGCAUGGCCAAAUGCCCAGGGAACAACCUCAAGAGGAGGAGGCGGCGGGCGGGCGGAAGCGGUUGCUCCACAUGGCCCAGAGCUUGAAAGCAGCAGGGACGGGACUCUAGACGCCGCCGCCAACAAACCCGCCACGACCCGGGAAACUGCGGUGAUUCCGGGGGAGGGAACGGGAGCGUAGAGGAGGGGAGCUGCUUUUGAAGUUCAAACAGUUCUUGGGGCUGUUUACAACCCCUCUGUCUCUCUCCUCCUCCUUCUCCCCUUCUCCUCCCCUAUAGGGCCCCCUCCCCCGCCGCCUCCCAUCUUUCUCCUCCUCUUUGACUGCCCUGGUCCCUGCGGACCCCGGUUCGUUUUCAGGGUUUUAUAGAAAGCAGCUUCUUCAAAUUCUUGUGGUUUCGGGGCAUUAACAAACUCCAGAGAGCAACAAAGGGAACGGGAGACCCGGGGCAUUAAAAGGCAGAGCAGAGUGACAGGCGGCACUGCCUCUUGGUCCCCAAUCCCAACCCCGGAGCAGCUUCGUUAAACUGUGCUGACACUCCUCCCUCUCCCCAUCCCGCCCCUCCUCGCCCACCCACCCAUUUCUCUCUUUUUCUUUUUUUUUCCCCCCCUCCCCUCUUCCUCUAGUCAUGGAAGGGAGAGAGGAUGCGGAGUCCAACUGUGAUGUAGCAUUCGCUGAAGCUCAGAGAUGGGUGGAGGCAGUUACUGAGAAAAACUUUGAAAACAAGGAUUUUCGAGCAUCUCUAGAAAAUGGUGUCCUGUUGUGUGAUUUGAUCAAUAAGCUUAAGCCUGGAAUCAUUAAAAAGAUCAAUCGUUUAUCUACACCAAUAGCAGGUUUGG